RNAcentral lists this transfer RNA (72 nucleotides) under Candidatus Woesebacteria bacterium. RNAcentral's name for it is "tRNA-Ile". It matches the Rfam family "tRNA". From Rfam's summary of the family: Transfer RNA (tRNA) molecules are approximately 80 nucleotides in length. The record is from RNAcentral. Lineage: Bacteria; Candidatus Woeseibacteriota.
GGGUCUGUCGUUCAACGGCUAGGACGGAUCUCUUAUAAAGAUCAAACGAUAGUCCGACUCUAUCCAGACCCA